AUUGAACGCUGGCGGCAUGCUUUACACAUGCAAGUCGAACGGCAGCGCGGGGGCAACCCUGGCGGCGAGUGGCGAACGGGUGAGUAAUGUAUCGGAACGUAUCCUGUAAUGGGGGGAUAACCCAGUCGAAAGAUUGGGUAAUACCGCAUACGCACGAGAGUGGAAAGUAGGGGAUCGCAAGACCUUACGUUAUAGGAGCGGCCGAUAUCUGAUUAGCUAGUUGGUGGGGUAAAGGCCUACCAAGGCGACGAUCAGUAGCUGGUCUGAGAGGACGACCAGCCACACUGGGACUGAGACACGGCCCAGACUCCUACGGGAGGCAGCAGUGGGGAAUUUUGGACAAUGGGCGAAAGCCUGAUCCAGCCAUGCCGCGUGCAGGAAGAAGGCCUUCGGGUUGUAAACUGCUUUAGUCUAGGAAAAAAGGGGUGCGAGGUUAAUACCCUCGUGCUUUGAUGGUACUGGAAGAAUAAGCACCGGCUAACUACGUG
Molecule: ribosomal RNA, 488 nt
Filed under: uncultured bacterium
Lineage: Bacteria
Description: bacterial SSU rRNA
Rfam family: Bacterial small subunit ribosomal RNA
Source: RNAcentral